ACGUAGGGGGCAAGCGGGAAAAGGAAAAAAUGGGAGAAAAGAGGGAGGAGGGGGUUUUUUAAGCGUGAGGUGAAAGGCAAUAGCUUAACUAUUGUAAGCCUUGCGAACUGGAAGACUUGAGUGCAGGAGAGGAAAGUGGAAUUCCUAGUGUAGCGGUGAAAUGCGUAGAUAUUAGGAGGAACACCAGUGGCGAAGGCGACUUUCUGGACUGUAACUGACACUGAGGCACGAAAGCGUGGGGAGCAAACAG
This 250-nucleotide ribosomal RNA is filed under the name uncultured prokaryote. RNAcentral describes it as "partial 16S rRNA". It matches the Rfam family "Bacterial small subunit ribosomal RNA", at positions 525 to 775 of the family's 1533-position model. The record is from RNAcentral.